Molecule: ribosomal RNA, 399 nt
Filed under: Triticum aestivum (bread wheat)
Lineage: Eukaryota; Viridiplantae; Streptophyta; Magnoliopsida; Poales; Poaceae
Description: partial small subunit ribosomal RNA
Source: RNAcentral
AUGGCGAUUGCGGCGACCCGGUCCAAACGUAUCUGUAGUACAAUGCUCGAUUCCUCCGCAUCAAGUGCAAGCGAACGGCACGCGAGGGCGCCGGUCGGACGCUCCCUUUGGUCCGACCUCGACAACGAGCUCCUCGCGUCCAUCGCCGUGCGCAUGUCUCUAAGGGACUACGCCCUCGCUCCGCCGACGUACCCUCGCCUUCUCUCCCUCUCCCCCGCGGACGACCACGGCCGGCGCACCGCCUCCCUUGUUUGCCUCCGGAUGCGACGCCGGUUCCACCUCCACACGGUCUACAACACGCUCGACGACGGCGACGACAACCGCGAUGGGCCCGUAAUCAACCGCAGCGUACGCGUCGUCGGCUCAGGCAACGGCCGCUUUGCCCUCGCCGUCGACUAG